UGCUUGUCUCAAAGAUUAAGCCAUGCAUGUCUAAGCAUAAGCCAAAAAAUGGUGAAGCCGCGAAUAGCUCAUUACAACAGCCAUAGUUUAUUGGAUCUUGACUUCCUACUUGGAUACCUGUGGUAAUUCUAGAGCUAAUACACGCACACAAGCUCCGACCUCUGGAAGGAGCGCAUUUAUUAGAACAAAACCAAUCGGGCUCGCCCGUCUUUUGGUGAAUCUGAAUAACUCAGCUGAUCGCAUGGUCCUCGCACCAGCGACGUAUCUUUCAAGUGUCUGCCUUAUCAACUUUCGAUGGUAGUUUAUGUGCCUACCAUGGUUGUAACGGGUAACGGAGAAUAAGGGUUCGACUCCGGAGAGGGAGCCUGAGAAAUGGCUACCACAUCCRAGGAAGGCAGCAGGCA
RNAcentral lists this ribosomal RNA (404 nucleotides) under Nematoda environmental sample. Its description in RNAcentral is "SSU rRNA". It matches the Rfam family "Eukaryotic small subunit ribosomal RNA", at positions 29 to 436 of the family's 1831-position model. The record is from RNAcentral. Lineage: Eukaryota; Metazoa; Nematoda.